This 391-nucleotide long non-coding RNA is filed under the name Capsella rubella. RNAcentral describes it as "long non-coding RNA (CRUB_LNC002426)". Lineage: Eukaryota; Viridiplantae; Streptophyta; Magnoliopsida; Brassicales; Brassicaceae. The record is from RNAcentral.
UCGAAGCUUUGGUGGAAGCUGAUGGAAAUUGACAUGCAUCUUUAAUCCACAAUUUCAAAGACGGUUUAUGCUCGUGCAAUGACCAGUGAUUUUCCAAGAGUUUCACAUACAUGGUGGUCCAGUAAUAAGCUUUGAUCUUUCCAAUACGCCGAAUGUACUACAGAGGAUGUAUAUAAGGCAAAAUACUUAUAGAAACCUAGAAGAUUUCCUUCAGAAUUAUGUUCAUCUUCUGCAAUCUGAUCUAGUCCAAUAUAUGAUGUUGCUACAAUACUAACCUCCAUUCAGGUAUAUAUACAGAAAUGUCAUACUCAAAUGCAUUCACAUGUCCGAAGUCUCCUUUUGAAUUUGUUGUUUUGGUCAAAUUACAUAGGUGCAUGGCUGAGUAAUCUCC